This 119-nucleotide ribosomal RNA is filed under the name Betta splendens (Siamese fighting fish). Lineage: Eukaryota; Metazoa; Chordata; Actinopteri; Anabantiformes; Osphronemidae. The record is from RNAcentral.
GCUUACGGCCAUACCACCCUGAGCACGCCCGAUCUCGUCUGAUCUCGGAAGCUAAGCAGGGUCGGGCCUGGUUAGUACUUGGAUGGGAGACUGCCUAGGAAUACCAGGUGCUGUAAGCU